This 1126-nucleotide non-coding RNA is filed under the name Pan troglodytes (chimpanzee). Lineage: Eukaryota; Metazoa; Chordata; Mammalia; Primates; Hominidae. The record is from RNAcentral.
GAUGACAGUGUGCACCACCACACCCAGCUAAUUUUUUUUUUUUGGUCUUGCUGUGUUGCCCAGGCUGGUCUCAAACUCCUGGACUCAAGUGAUCUUCCCUUCUCAGCCUCUCAAAGUGCUGGAAUUACAGACAUGAGCCACCGUGCCCAGCCAGAGAAAUAACCAUGGAUAUGGGUAGAGACAGAGCCAUAUGGAAUGCACACCGCAGUGGUGAACACAUGGCCCAGCUCUGCCAUCAAGGAGAAGGAACGUGAAUGGAGCUGGAGGCCAUCAUCCUUAGUAAACUAACACAGGAGCAGAAAACCAAAUACCGCAUGUUCUCAUGUGUAAGUGGGAGCUAAAUGAUGAGAACACAUGGACACAAAGAGGGGAACAACAGACACUGAAGCCUCCUUGAGGGAGGAGGGUAAGAGGAAGGAGAAGAUCAGAAAAGAUAACUACCAGGUACUAUGGUAGCUUAGUACCUGGGUGAUGAAAUAAUCUGUACACCCAACCCUCAUGACAGAAGUUUACCUGUGUAACAAACCUGCACAUGUAUCCCUGAAACUAAAAGUUUUUUAAAAAGUUAUUUAAUAUAUAUAUAUAUAUUUUUGAGACGGAGUUUUGCUCUUGUUGCCCAGGCUGGAGUGCGGUGGCGCAAUUUCGGCUCACCACAACCUCCGCCUCCCAGGUUCAAGCUAUUCCCCUGCCUCAGCCUCCCUAGUAGCUGGGAUUACACGCUUGUGCCACCACGCCCAGCUAAUUUUGUAUUUUUUGUAGAGACGGGGUUUCUCCAUGUUGGUCAGGCUGGUCUCGAACUCCCGACCUCAGGUGAUCUGCCCGCCUCGGCCUCCCAAAGUGCUAGGAUUACAGGCAUGAGCCACUGUGCCCGGCAAAAAGUUAUUUAAUAUUAAUGGGACAAUACUCAUUGCAAGAAUCAGACUUCAAUUGCUAGCAUAAGUAAAUGACAGGCAGGAGAUAUUGAAAAUGCAAUCUUAUAGACAUUCAAGGAGAGGACGCAGGACAUUUCUGUGUCAUAAAUGUACUAUGGAAAAUAAAAAUGAGAAAAAUGGAAAUAAAAUACAAGAAAAGGUUAUGAUGAUAAAUUUCAUAUUAUUUUACCACAAUAAAAAAAUUUUAAUAAAUU